This is a long non-coding RNA of Eucalyptus grandis, 3372 nucleotides long. RefSeq lists it as uncharacterized. The record is from RefSeq and is a predicted model, not a curated record. NCBI's taxonomy places the organism in Eukaryota, Viridiplantae, Streptophyta, Magnoliopsida, Myrtales, Myrtaceae. The transcript is spliced from 5 exons.
CAAAUCUAGGCGAAGCUGAAGCUUCUGGGCAUCAAAAGUACAGUGACAGCUCCAGCUCCAGCUCCAACUCAAGUUGCGCCCCCUCUCUCCCCUUCCGUCCACCAUCUCUCCUCUCCUACCGGGCCCCCUCAGCAUUCGCUGCUUGUCCGGUUCGGGGCGAUCCGGGGGACAACUUUAGAGACUCUGGGGGGGCCUACCAGCUGAUUAACGAUGAGACAGUAAGGUGAGUCCGUUGUUGAUAAUUGGUAUCCAAGCCGAUGGAACGACUCAAGCAAUUGUUAUGUGCAUUUUGUGCUGUGCAAAAGCUGCGGCUGAACCAUUGCGUUGAGAUGCACUCAUCAUGGGUCAACCCUGCCGAAAGAUGAGAUUCUCCUACGGCAAGUAUGAGUGGUUUAGGCAGAGGUUUGGAUGACUGAAUUCGCUGAGAAUCAAAUCUCUUGUUGAAAAAUCUUCCAAGCUAAAGCAAGCGAGUUGCAAAGAUUAUGAACCAGAAGCAGAAAAUCUACAUUUUGAUGUGCCUGAUCUCUCAUUUUCUAAAUUGGAUUGACUGGGGAAAAAUGAGGAAGCAGCUAUCCUUGUACUCGGAAGAAAGAUAUCAGGUGCUUACCAAUCCAAAGUUGCCAAAGACGCCGCAGCAAGGACUGAAACAGAAGAAAUGGAUCAUUCAGUGCACCUAAUGGAAACUAAUAAACAAGGCAUAUCUGCCACCAGAAUAGUUGGAACAGAGCCUUCACUUCACAGUUCUAAUGCAGAUUUCAGAUUUCAGAGGAUGGGGCAGGGGGGUUUCCGUGGAUGCCUUUACUUCAAGGUGUUCUUUCUACACCUUGACAAAAGGAAGGUCUUCUCCUGGUGUACUGCAACUCAGAUUGCUGCUAACUAUGGAUGGCUGCUAGCUAUGGCAUUCAAACUUGUAAUUGAGGGAAAGACUUGUAUUAUAGCUGAUCAGAGUGGCUCGGGAAUAGUGCUGGCUUAUCUUGCACCAAUAGGCCAACAUCUCAGGUAGGAAGAGCUGUAAGGACCUAGCAAAUCGUUCUCACAAAGCCCUUGUUGUUGUUCUGGUUUUGAGUAACUGCUGAUCCAUAUCAAAGGUUGGGGCUCCAUUCUGGUCUAUGGUUGCCACAGGUGGUUUCAGGCAGAAAACUCAGGUGGAAAGUAUAGAAGAGGGUGUUGAUGUCCUAAUAGCAACUCUGGUCGCUUUUUUUUUUCUUGUUUAAGAAGGCUUUUUGGAGUUGAAGGAUCUUAGAUGGUAUGCCUAUGCAUUGUAUAAUGUUGCAUGAAUAAGUUUGGGUGCACGAGGUAUUCGAGAUCAUCAUCUUCUCAUCAGUUUUUGAGUAAAGAAUGUGAUUGUCCUACUGUUUUCUGAUUUAGUACUUCCACCGUGUAUUAUCACCAUUCUUUGAAUCUUUGAGGAAAGGAAAAGUUUCGCGAAAUUUCUAUUCUUACAUACACAGCUGAAUCUUGAUUUUCUGGCUUGAGUUAUGGAGAACUUUGCUUUGAUUUACAAAAAUGUUGGAUAUAUCGCUAUUUGUUAGCCCCAAUAGAAAUCUUUGAGAAAUGACUGGUGACAAAUUGAGAAGGCUCCACUUGACGCACUCGUCAUAUUGUUUGUUAUAGGAUAUGAAGUUAAAAAAUCUCUUGUUAAUGGAUUUACCUGCCAAGAAUUUGAAUGACAUCAAAGCCUGGAUAAUUUUGGCAUUCAGCAGAUUUCAAUCCAUGCUAUGCUACAAACAAAGAGCUCUAUGUAGCUAUAAUGUACUCAAUAACAGAAGAAUGAUAUUUUUGUACAUGAUAUCUUUGUACAUAUUGCAGAUUGUUUUGCAAUUACUGCUAUAAUCUAUGGCUUCAUGCUCAGCGUAUUUUUGGAUGAGGUGGAUAUUCUCUGCAGUGAUGAGUUUGAAGCAGCAUUUCAAAGCAUAAUCAAUUAUUCACCUGUCUCCACCCAGUAUCUGUUUGGGACGGCCUUGCUGGUAGAUAUAUAUAACAAAAUAGUUGAAAUUCCUCCCCACUGUGAAGUAAUCAUGAGACCUGGCAUUCAUUGGACAAGCCCUCACUUGUAGAGUUUCUCAUAGAUUGUAGUGGAGAGGAAGACAGUGAAAAGACUCCAGAUACUGCAUUCCUGAAUAAGAAGUCUACUUUUAUUCAGUUUGCGGAAGAAACCCCAGUAACCAAAGCGAUUGUUUUCUGUAACGAGGUAUGUUGAUCUUUCAGUAAAGGCUGCUUGAAAUUGACUCAUUACAUUUCCUUCUCUCUCUCGACCAUCUCACUGAGUCCUGGCCCGGAGUUUGAGAGAAGGUUCUGAAGCCACCUGAAUGGAGGAUUCAUCAUUACUUUGUCCUCUUCUCCAUAUAUAGAUUGAGACAUGUUGAAAAGUUGAAAAUGCAUUGAAGUGCAUUGACAGAAAAGCGCUGAUACACAAGUUCUACCUUUUCAUGCCACUGUUUCACAAGAGUUGCAGCAGGCAAAUAUGAAAGAGUUUGCUCCUUCUCCAUCUAAAGAUGUUUCCUUGUUUUUGGUUUGCAGCAACAGGUAUGUAUAGUUGCUUUGUUUGAUAUCAAUCAAACUAUGCUUCUAGAAAUAUAUCUGCUUUGCAGCCGAGCUUGAUCCCUAAAAGUAAGCCGUAAGUUAAACCAUGCAUAACGUGCCAAGACCCAGGCCUUCAGUUCUCAAUUCAAGCUUGCACAUUUAAUAAUGGAGUCAGUCUCAACAAGAAUUAGAUGAAAAUAGUAAUGCCUGGGAUAGGCCUUGUUCUGUCUUGAUGGUUUUGUGAAUAAUUGGGAUAGGUAAGAGCUGAGUGUUAGCUAACACUCAAGGCACUCACCUAGGCGCUCAAGCAAAGCAAGGCGAAGCCUCUGCUUCUCACCUCAUCUCAGGCAAGGUUUCUUUGUUUAAGGUAAGCACCUGAGAUGAGGUGCUCCUUUUCUGAGGUAUUGCCUCAGAAAAGAUUUGUCUAUGUUAACAUCUUUGCACCAGUGCAAUAUGUGCUACAAUGCAGACCUCGAGUAACUUGUGAUUCUAAGUAUGAAAGACCUAAUAAUUUGUUUGUUGAUGGACUAAUCUCCACUUUUUACUUGGCACCUCUCAUUGUUCAGCCGAGCGCCUGAGGCACUGUGGUCUUGAGUCUCUUAACAGCACCUAGUGAUUUUAACAGCACUGUUUGUGACACAGUCGAAUGAAAGGCGGGGCAGGGUCACUGGACACACAUGAAUUUACCUAAGACAUGUCACUCUUAUCUUUCCUUAAGCACUCUCAUUUUUCCUUUAAGUAUUUGCAAGAUCCUGAUCAUUUUUCAACCAUAUGACAGGUCGUUACAAGGAAUCGACUUUACUGGAGUGGACCACGUUAUUCUCUUCGAUGUCCCAUGCGAUCCAAGCA